UCAAAAUCUUUUCUGCCUCAGUCAGUUCUUGCAUGUCUGCAGUUCUGUCACUUAUUUUAGCACUGGGCACCACUUGUGUUACGCCCUUUUGACUCUGAAAUGCACUGCAGGGUCUGGUAUUACUCAGAGCCACAAGGGCGUAUAUGUACAUACGCCCUUCUGGCUCCAAACAGUACUCCACCUUUUUGGUACAGGAGGAUGAGAUAAAUCUCCGUUUUGUUCCAGAUGUCGUCAUGGUGCCCUUGGAAAAUGCGUGCACUGUGUACCGUUAGAGCUUUUUGACGAAGACUAUCUGAACCACCUCGACCCGCCGGUGAAGCACGUCUUUCCACGCG
Long non-coding RNA from Cyprinodon tularosa, 335 nucleotides. RefSeq lists it as uncharacterized. The transcript is spliced from 3 exons. NCBI's taxonomy places the organism in Eukaryota, Metazoa, Chordata, Actinopteri, Cyprinodontiformes, Cyprinodontidae. The record is from RefSeq and is a predicted model, not a curated record.